AUUGUCUCCAAAGUUGGACUUUUGCCACUGGUUCUGCGACUUCAUGCAAUGCCAGGGAGAGCCCCUUGAUUUCCCCCAAAUCCUCAUCAGCCUCUUUCCACCCAAGCCCAGAUGAACAGUGUGAGUAAAAAAGAGUGUGGUUGCUGCGUGAACCCAGAUCUCAGACUAGUCAUCCAGCCCCAUUAUGUAGGACUCAGACACCCCUGUCCACAUCUAACCUCCAGCCCUAACGCCACAUUAGAAAUGGGGGUCUUACUGCUGCUGUCACUCCUAGUCACCCUGUUAAAUUCUAUACCGGUUUACCCAAGUCGCCCAGAGACUGGGCCCCACUUACAUAAGCUGAAGAGACCAGCUGCUUUAAUAGCCUCAUUACCUAGGAUAUAGGAUCACUGUCCAACCUCACUCCACAGUGGGCAAGUUUUUACUUCAGAAUAACUUUUGAAAUAAAUUUCCCCGGAACAGCUCGCCCCUCUCAACAGGACUCUGAGGCUCCACUACGUUGCUGUUAUUCCUGACAGAGUGAUGAAAGGAAAUUUAAACAAGUGGCAUUUUGUAAAACCACCCCAGCCUGUGUGACUUUCAAUGCCUGUCCGAUUUGGCUGGGAAAAUAUUUUAGAUCCCCAGGGCUACAUACUGUUUUUUAUACCCUCCUCUUUGUGUCAGUGAUGGAAAAGGUGUCAAUCUGCUCUGAAUCUCUCUGAACACCUCAGGAAAUAGGCUUUUGGCUCGCAGAGAGGGGAUGAGAAAUAGUUUUGAACCACCAAGUCUCUUGGAGGGUGUCAGCAGCCCCUUGAAGUAAAAGUGUGGCUGCAAACCCAGCUCUCUGCAUUAGCCAGGUGAACCUGAGCAUGCUGCAUACACCCUCAGUCUUGGUUUCUUAAUAUGUAAAAUGGGAAUGAAUAUGCGCACCUCGUGGGGUGGUUGUGAUUAAAGGCAUUCAUUAUAAAGAGCUUAGUUUCAUACAAAGUGAUCAGAAGUGUUGGUUUCCCUCCUUAAGUUUUCUUCUCAUUCCUUUUUCCCCUGCGCUUACAGCCAUGCAGUGUACAUUCAAGAAAUUUCCAUGAGGGCAUGAGGUGUCCAGUGUUAGCCUCAAAUCAAGCAUCCACGAGGUAGUUAGUGUAUACAUUAUAUACAUUUAAAGAGGAGGUCUUAGGAAAAGCCAAACCCUGUCUCAAAAUGAGCUUCCACUCUCACCUGGAUGCCAAGUAACACACACACACAAACAAAGGGCAGUAUGGAGUUCACAAGGGAAUGUUCCCGUUUAACUGGAGUCAGCUGAGCUGGAUUCUAGUCCAAUUUCUGCCAGUUAUUCCCUGUGUGACCCAUGUGAUAAAAUGUAUAGAAGGCUUAAAGUGUGCCAAGCAUUGUGGAUUAUAGCACUUAAUUCUCACACUGAUCCAUAUGGUUACUCCUGCUAUUAUCCCCAUUUUACAGAUGAGCAAACUGAGAGAGGUUACAUAACUUGACUCAGGUCACAGUAAAUACAUGGUGGAGCCAGGCUUUGAGACCAGGUAGUAUGAUUCCAGAGCCCACACCUUCCCUGCUGCAUCAUACUAAAUGGGGGCAAGUCACUUAGCCUCUGGGCCUCAGUUUUUCUCAUCUGAACAGAAAGGGGGCCAGACUAGGCGCCACCCAGGGCUCCUUUCAGCUCCAACUUUCUAUACAUCUACUAAGAAAAUUACAUAUGGAUGCUAAAUAAGUUAGGCCCAGGGUGCUUUUAAGAGAAACGUCAAAGUGGAUAGGGUUGCUUCAUUUCCCAGGGGUGGAAAGCCACUAAAAUAUUUCUUCUGUGUUCCUGGUUCCAAUUUGCCACUCAAAAAGCCAAACAAAGAAAUCAUCCCCCAGAGUUCCAUUCCAAUUGAUUUAGAUCCCUGAGGCUAAUUUUGACCAAAAUGGAAGGAGAAGCAGAAGGUGUGGAAACCCAUGGCUUUCUGCACAACAGAUACACAUGAUGAGAAGUCUGUAUUCUCUUACACACAUAUACACACACACACACACACACAACCAGUGUUCAUAUCGCCUUCCACUGAAGCUCAUACCAGUUCCUCUAGCCAAGUUGUCAUGGCAACACCAGCUGCCAAUGAGAUCAUGGAAGACAAGGUCAUAAUGGCAAUGGUGCCUUAAUAUUUUACCUGGCAAAGCCACUUAGUUAUUAAGAUGAAUAACCAUAAGUCAUAAACUCAUAGGAAGCUAGGCACCAUUCAUGUACAUGUUUAGUGUACAAUUGGGGGUGGGGAAUGGAAAUGACAGCGAAGGGAAAGGAACAAAAAGGAAGAGAGGAUGAGGCAGAGAGCGGAGAAGAAGGUCUCUGAUGCUGAUCCUUAUUUUUCAGUGUGGACCAUGCACAGACUCAUCUACUCACCUGAGGAUUAUGAGGAUUAUGAGUUUUAUGGAGCAAAAUUUGCCUAGAACAGGUUGUCAGCUUCUGUGGACACAGUCUUCUACCCUCAGAAAUCCCAUUGGAAGAAAGAACAAAUGAAGCAUCCCAAGGACUGGAGGAUUCUCUUCCCCCAGGGUAUUCAAGGAAGACACUGGGGAACAAAUUGAACAAAGUUUAUUUCAUCAACAAUGAAAAAUGCCCAGAAGGAAAUGAAGCACAAGAUUCAGUUACACAAAGAUGAAAGCUAUUGACCACUUGGCCACUUCUCAUACUAAAAGAGAAGGAAAUAACACGAAGUACUGGAAGUGACAUUAUAUUGUCCUCAUGGUGACAACCAGGAUGGGCCUGACAUAAGCCAGUCCAGGCUGUAUGUGUGGCCCGAGUGCACACAUGCGGUUUCUCUGGCCACCGAAUCAGAACCAGCUGGGCCCCACAAGUCAGUCUCUGGGGGCUGUGAUUCUGCAUUGCAAACAAGUCCUUGGGUAGCUCUCAGGGUUCACCAAGAUUUGAGAACCACUAGUGUGGCUGACUCCAGUGAAACAGUCCCACUUUUACUGCUUUCAACUGUCAUUUAUAUAGAUUCAGGCAAAGAAUGGUUUUUAGAAUGAUGCCCGAUGUAGCAAAUAAAAUGAUCUCAACAUA
Molecule: long non-coding RNA, 3022 nt
Filed under: Homo sapiens (human)
Lineage: Eukaryota; Metazoa; Chordata; Mammalia; Primates; Hominidae
Description: HSALNT0373448
Source: RNAcentral